This 523-nucleotide ribosomal RNA is filed under the name Candidatus Bathyarchaeota archaeon. RNAcentral describes it as "bacterial SSU rRNA". It matches the Rfam family "Archaeal small subunit ribosomal RNA", at positions 1 to 496 of the family's 1478-position model. The record is from RNAcentral. Lineage: Archaea; Thermoproteati; Candidatus Bathyarchaeota.
CAACUCCGCUUGAUCCUGGCGGACCCAACUGCUAUCGGGGUGAGACUAAGCCAUGCGAGUUGUGCGUCCCCAGGCCACGUUGGGGGCGCAGCAUACGGCUCAGUAACAUGUGGCUAACCUACCCUCGGGACGGAAAUAACCCCGGGAAACUGGGGCUAAUUUCCGAUAGAUGAGGAGGUCUGGAAUGACUCUUCGUCCAAAAGGCGUUGGGAACAUGCCUCUCAACGUCGCCCGAGGAUGGGGCCGCAUCCGAUCAGGUUGUUGGUGAGGUAACGGCUCACCAAGCCUAUAACCGGUACGGGCCGUGAGAGCGGGAGCCCGGAGAUGGGCACUGAGAUAAGGGCCCAGGCCCUACGGGGCGCAGCAGGCGCGAAACCUCCGCAAUGCGCGAAAGCGUGACGGGGUCACCCCGAGUGCCAUCCGCUGAGGGUGGCUUUUGCCCGGUGUAACCAGCCGGGUGAAUAAGGGGAGGGCAAGUCUGGUGUCAGCCGCCGCGGUAAUACCAGCUCCUCGAGUGGUUGGG